RNAcentral lists this ribosomal RNA (231 nucleotides) under uncultured bacterium. Its description in RNAcentral is "partial 16S ribosomal RNA". It matches the Rfam family "Bacterial small subunit ribosomal RNA", at positions 118 to 350 of the family's 1533-position model. The record is from RNAcentral.
UGGGCAACCUGCCCCUAGCUCUGGGAUAACUCCGGGAAACCGGGGCUAAUACCGGAUAUGAUCACGGUGGACAUCCACUGUGGUGGAAAGCUCCGACGGUUAGGGAUGGGCCCGCGGCCUAUCAGCUUGUUGGCGGGGUAACGGCCCACCAAGGCGACGACGGGUAGCCGGCCUGAGAGGGCGACCGGCCACACUGGGACUGAGACACGGCCCAGACUCCUACGGGAGGCA